Molecule: ribosomal RNA, 629 nt
Filed under: uncultured organism
Description: bacterial SSU rRNA
Rfam family: Bacterial small subunit ribosomal RNA
Source: RNAcentral
UGUAAACGAUGAUCACUCGUUGUUGGCAAUACAUCGUCAGCGACUGAGCGAAAGCAUUAAGUGAUCCACCUGGGGAGUACGUUGGCAACGAUGAAACUCAAAGGAAUUGACGGGGGCCCGCACAAGCGGUGGAACAUGUGGUUUAAUUCGAUGAUACGCGAAGAACCUCACCUGGGCUUGACAUAUAUAUGGCGUAUGUAAGAAAUUAUGUAUUCUGCCUGCUUUUGCAGGUAGCAUAUAUACAGGUGAUGCAUGGCUGUCGUCAGCUCGUGUCGUGAGAUGUAGGGUUAAGUCCCUUAACGAGCGCAACCCUUGCUUUUAGUUGCCAUCAGGUAAUGCUGGGGACUCUAGAAGGACUGCCGAGGUUAACUCGGAGGAAGGUGGGGAUGACGUCAAGUCAGUAUGUCCCUUAUGUCCAGGGCUACACACGUGUUACAAUGGUCGGUACAGAGUGACGCUAAUCCACGAGGUGGCGCCAAUCACUUAAAGCCGAUCCCAGUUCGGAUUGGAGUCUGCAAUUCGACUCCAUGAAGUUGGAAUCGCUAGUAAUCGCAGAACAGCAUGCUGCGGUGAAUACGUUCCCGGGCAUUGUACACACCGCCCGUCACGCCAUGGAAGUUGGGAGUACC